AUGGAUUCUCCAGAAAUUCCGCCCUCUGACCGCAGAGAAGAGCGGCCGCCAGCGUCGCUGCCGCUGCCGGCGGCCUUUCUCGAGUUCCUCGGCGAGAAUGGCCUGGACCCCGCGCUCUACUCCAAGGCGGACACCAUCCCGCGCUACAUCAGGUUAAAACCAGGCAUGGAGUCCAGUGUGGUGACAGAGAUCGAAAGCGAGCUCAAGUGUGAUCUCAUGAGGGUGUCGUGGCUGCCGGACUUCUAUGCGAUCCCGCCUGAAAUUCAGAUUGCUGGAUCCAAGGCUUAUCAGCAAGGGAAGAUCUAUGGGAUUGAUGCAGCUUCUGGAGCUGCCAUCUUAGCACUCGAUGUUCAAUCAGGAGACCAUGUUCUUGACCUCUGUGCUGCACCAGGUGCAAAGCUUUGCAUGCUUGCAGAUAUGCUUGGUAGCUCAGGUUCUUUGACUGGUGUUGAUGUUGCAAAGCACCGUCUUGCAGCCUGUCGUACGAUGUUGCAGAAGUAUUCUCUUGGAGAUCGUAGUCGACUCUUUGUUGCUGAUGGGACUUCGUUUUCCAUAUUGCCUGUGAACUCCAAUCUGGGGAGCAUGGAAGCUUUUGUUGGAAUUGAGGAUAAUGGAAGCAUAUUCUCAGAAUGGACUUCAAAGAGAUCAUGGAAAGACAGACAGAAGUCUAAAAAGGCAAAAGCAGCCGGUUCACCUCAUCUACCAUCAACUUCCGAACCUGAACUGAUAUACUAUGGCAAAGAUUCAGGAUUAGUUGGAUUGCAAAAACGUUAUGUUCUUCACCCAUCAACUGAUGCUGCUGCCUGUACAUCUGGGUAUGAUAAGGUCCUAGUGGAUGCAGAAUGUACUCAUGAUGGAUCGAUAAAACACAUUCAGAAGUUUGAGUUCUGGGGAUGGAAAACAUUAGACCGCCGUGUACUCAACGUAGAAAGAACUGGCAACCUACUUCAUCUUCAGUUAGGGCUUCUCACAAAUGGUUUUAAAUUAUUGAAAACAGGCGGAUCACUUGUCUAUAGUACUUGCAGCUUGACUGUUGCACAAAACGAGAAUGUGGUUCAGCAAUUCCUCUCAAAACAUCCUUCAGCAGAGCUGCUAAAGAUCAAUCCAGCCGAUAGCUGGCCCUGCAGAAGCGGCGGCAUCCAGAAAACCUUGCGGACAGGAGCCGUACAUCUGCGGCGGCAGGCGCGGGUGAGCGGCGGCGAUGAGCGGCUUGGCCUUGGGCAUGGUCAUCCCGUAGACCUCGUCGGUGUCGAUGUCCUCGGGGCGGAGGCCGUCGGGCGGGGACCAGUUGAAGCAGUGGAAGAGCCUGGCGAGCGCCAUGAGCACCAGGAUCACGCCCAGGGGCGCCCCUGGGCACUUGCGCUUCCCGGCGCUGAAGGGCAGGAUCUUGAAGUCCGGCAGGUGGCUGAUCUCCACGCGCCCGCCGUCGGCCGGGAGGUGCCUCUCGGGGCGGAACUCGUCGACGUCGUCCCAGAUGCGCGGGUUCCGGCCCAGCGCGUGGGUGUUGAUGAAGAUCCUCGUCUGCGCCGGGAUGUCGUAGCCCAUGAUCGUCGUCGCCUUGAGUGA
Molecule: ribosomal RNA, 1566 nt
Filed under: Triticum aestivum (bread wheat)
Lineage: Eukaryota; Viridiplantae; Streptophyta; Magnoliopsida; Poales; Poaceae
Description: partial small subunit ribosomal RNA
Source: RNAcentral